GGCUGGUCCACAGGUAGUGAGUUAUCUCAAUAGACUGUUCACGGUCAGUUACGGAUCCAACUCCCUGUUCUACUCUUUCCCCCGUUCUCACUACUACACUUGCCUAGUCUUAA
This is a Y RNA of Callithrix jacchus (white-tufted-ear marmoset), 113 nucleotides long. It matches the Rfam family "Y RNA". Rfam says of the family: Y RNAs are components of the Ro ribonucleoprotein particle (Ro RNP), in association with Ro60 and La proteins. The record is from Ensembl. Lineage: Eukaryota; Metazoa; Chordata; Mammalia; Primates; Cebidae.